CAGCAGCCGCGGGAACACCGGCGGCCCGAGUGGUGAUCGUGAUUAUUGGGUCUAAAGGGCCGUAGCCGGUUUGGUCAGUCCUCCGGGAAAUCUGAUAGCUCAACUAUUAGGCUUUCGGGGGAUACUGCCAGACUUGGAACCGGGAGAGGUAAGAGGUACUACAGGGGGUAGGAGUGAAAUCUUGUAAUCCCUGUGGGACCACCUGUAGCGAAGGCGUCUUACCAGAACGGGUUCGACGGUGAGGGACGAAAGCUGGGGGCACGAACCGGAUUAGAUACCCGGGUAGUCCCAGCCGUAAACGAUGCUCGCUAGGUGUCAGGCAUGGCGCGACCGUGUCUGGUGCCGCAGGGAAGCCGUGAAGCGAACCACCUGGGAAGUACGGCCGCAAGGCUGGAAACUUAAAGGAAUUGGCGGGGGAGCACAACAACGGGUGGGAGCCUGCGGUUUAAUUGGACUCAACGCCGGACAACUCACCGGGGGCGACAGCAAUAUGUAGGCCAAGCUGAAGACUUUGCCUGAAUCGCUGAGAAGAGGUGCAUGG
Molecule: ribosomal RNA, 541 nt
Filed under: uncultured archaeon
Lineage: Archaea
Description: bacterial SSU rRNA
Rfam family: Archaeal small subunit ribosomal RNA
Source: RNAcentral